Humulus lupulus (European hop) is the source of this 329-nucleotide long non-coding RNA. RefSeq lists it as uncharacterized. NCBI's taxonomy places the organism in Eukaryota, Viridiplantae, Streptophyta, Magnoliopsida, Rosales, Cannabaceae. The record is from RefSeq and is a predicted model, not a curated record. The transcript is spliced from 3 exons.
AGAUUCAUUUUCUGGUGUCAGAUACCAUUUCCAAGUUUGAAGAAGAGAAGGAAAGGCUUUUAAAGUGAUAUGAACAAAUGAGGAAGAAAGAAAAGAGUAUGAUGUCAGACCAUGAGAAAGCUUGCGGAGAUAAGAUUACUCGAUUGGAGGAGUCUCUGAAAAAGGAAAACUCAGGACGACAAAACUUUUAGCAUUUUGAGGAAAACUUUGGGUUCCCUUUUUGAGAAUGCCUUGGAUGAUGAUUUCCCACCUGAUGAUUAAAGCUUUGCUUCAGUGUUGGCAUCUCAGAGAAAAGGCAAAACUGACCACUCUUUCAACCUGAUUCAAGA